GACGAACGCUGGCGGCGUGCCUAAUACAUGCAAGUAGAACGCUGAAGGAGGAGCUUGCUUCUCUGGAUGAGUUGCGAACGGGUGAGUAACGCGUAGGUAACCUGCCUGGUAGCGGGGGAUAACUAUUGGAAACGAUAGCUAAUACCGCAUAAGAGUAGACGUUGCAUGACAUUUGCUUAAAAGGUUCAAUUGCAUCACUACCAGAUGCACCUGCGGUGUAUUUGCUUGUUGGUGUGGUAUCGGCUCACCAAGGCGACGAUACAUAGCCGACCUGAGAGGGGGAGCGGCCACACUGGGAGUGAGACACGGCCCAGACGCCUACGGGAGGCAGCAGUAGGGAAUCUUGGGCAAGAGACGGAAGUCUGACCGAGCAACGCCGCGUGAGGGAAGAAGGUUGUCGGAUCGUAAAGGUCUGUUGUAAGGGAAGAACGAGUGUGAGAGUGGAAAGUUCACACUGUGACGGUAUCUUACCAGAAAGGGACGGCUAACUACGUG
This 495-nucleotide ribosomal RNA is filed under the name uncultured bacterium. RNAcentral describes it as "partial 16S ribosomal RNA". It matches the Rfam family "Bacterial small subunit ribosomal RNA", at positions 28 to 507 of the family's 1533-position model. The record is from RNAcentral.